This 768-nucleotide ribosomal RNA is filed under the name uncultured Burkholderiales bacterium. RNAcentral's name for it is "bacterial SSU rRNA". It matches the Rfam family "Bacterial small subunit ribosomal RNA", at positions 56 to 816 of the family's 1533-position model. Lineage: Bacteria; Pseudomonadati; Pseudomonadota; Betaproteobacteria; Burkholderiales. The record is from RNAcentral.
UGCAAGUCCGAACGGCAGCACGGGAAGCAAUCCUGGUGGCGAGUGGCGAACGGGUGAGUAAUAUAUCGGAACGUGCCCAGUAGUGGGGGAUAACUGCUCGAAAGAGCAGCUAAUACCGCAUACGACCUGAGGGUGAAAGGGGGGGAUCGCAAGACCUCUCGCUAUUGGAGCGGCCGAUAUCAGAUUAGCUAGUUGGUGGGGUAAAGGCCUACCAAGGCAACGAUCUGUAGUUGGUCUGAGAGGACGACCAGCCACACUGGGACUGAGACACGGCCCAGACUCCUACGGGAGGCAGCAGUGGGGAAUUUUGGACAAUGGGCGCAAGCCUGAUCCAGCAAUGCCGCGUGCAGGAAGAAGGCCUUCGGGUUGUAAACUGCUUUUGUCAGGGAAGAAAUCCUCUAGGUUAAUACCCUUGGGGGGAUGACGGUACCUGAAGAAUAAGCACCGGCUAACUACGUGCCAGCAGCCGCGGUAAUACGUAGGGUGCAAGCGUUAAUCGGAAUUACUGGGCGUAAAGCGUGCGCAGGCGGCUUUGCAAGACAGAUGUGAAAUCCCCGGGCUCAACCUGGGAACUGCAUUUGUGACUGCAAGGCUAGAGUACGGUAGAGGGGGAUGGAAUUCCGCGUGUAGCAGUGAAAUGCGUAGAUAUGCGGAGGAACACCAAUGGCGAAGGCAAUCCCCUGGACCUGUACUGACGCUCAUGCACGAAAGUGUGGGGAGCAAACAGGAUUAGAUACCCUGGUAGUCCACGCCCUAAACGAUGUCCAC